CAGCCGCCGCGGAAGACGGAGGAUGCAUGUGUUAUCCGGAAUUACUGGGCGUAAAGCGUCUGUAGGUGGUUUAAUAAGUCAACUGUUAAAUCUUGAGGCUUAACUUCAAAACAGCAGUCGAAACUAUUAGACUAGAGUAUAGUUAGGGGUAAAGGGAAUUUCCAGUGGAGCGGUGAAAUGCGUAGAUAUUGGAAAGAACACCGAUGGCGAAAGCACUUUACUGGGCUAUUACUAACACUCAGAGACGAAAGUUAGGGUAGCAAAUGGGAUUAGAUACCCCAGUAGUCCUAGCUUGUAAACAAGUGGAUACUAGAUGUUGAACAGAUCGACCUGUGCAGUAUUAAAGC
RNAcentral lists this ribosomal RNA (347 nucleotides) under uncultured bacterium. RNAcentral's name for it is "bacterial SSU rRNA". It matches the Rfam family "Bacterial small subunit ribosomal RNA", at positions 509 to 852 of the family's 1533-position model. The record is from RNAcentral.